CCUACGAGAGGCAGCAGUGGGGAAUCUUGCACAAUGGGGGAAACCCUGAUGCAGCGACGCCGCGUGAGUGAAGACGUAAUUCGUUACGUAACGCUCUAUCAGCAGGGAAGUAAAUGACGGUACCUGAGUAAGAAUCCCCGGCUAACUACGUGCCAGCAGCCGCGGUAAUACGUAGGGGGCAAGCGUUAUCCGGAUUUACUGGGUGUAAAGGGAGCGUAGACGGGUCGCCAAGACUGGAGUGAAAUGCCGCAGCUUAACUGCGGAACUGCUUUGGAAACUGGCGAAAUAGAGGGCGGGAGGGGUAAGCGGAAUUCCUGGUGUAGCGGUGAAAUGCGGAGAUAUUAGGAGGAACACCGGUGGCGAAGGCGGCUUACUGGACCGUAACUGACGUUGAGGCUCGAAAGCGUGGGGAGCAAACAGGAUUAGAUACCCGGGUAGUC
Molecule: ribosomal RNA, 440 nt
Filed under: uncultured bacterium
Lineage: Bacteria
Description: partial 16S ribosomal RNA
Rfam family: Bacterial small subunit ribosomal RNA
Source: RNAcentral